This 75-nucleotide transfer RNA is filed under the name Dipodomys ordii (Ord's kangaroo rat). It matches the Rfam family "tRNA". From Rfam's summary of the family: Transfer RNA (tRNA) molecules are approximately 80 nucleotides in length. Their secondary structure includes four short double-helical elements and three loops (D, anti-codon, and T loops). The record is from Rfam by way of RNAcentral. Lineage: Eukaryota; Metazoa; Chordata; Mammalia; Rodentia; Heteromyidae.
GGAAGUGUGGCUCAAGUAGUAGAGCACCUGCCUAGCAAGCAUGAGGCUCUGAGUUCAAAAGUCCUAGUACUGCCA